UACGUAGGGUGCGAGCGUUAAUCGGAAUUACUGGGCGUAAAGCGUGCGCAGGCGGUUCGCUGUGUCCGAUGUGAAAGCCCCGGGCUUAACCUGGGAAUGGCAUUGGAAACUGGCUGGCUUGGAGUGCGGCAGAGGGGGGUGGAAUUCCGGCGUGUAGCAGUGAAAUGCGUAGAGAUGCGGAGGAACACGAUGGCGAAGGCAGCCCCCUGGGUCGACACUGACGCUCAUGCACGAAAGCGUGGGGAGCAAACAGG
This 254-nucleotide ribosomal RNA is filed under the name uncultured bacterium. RNAcentral describes it as "partial 16S ribosomal RNA". It matches the Rfam family "Bacterial small subunit ribosomal RNA", at positions 524 to 776 of the family's 1533-position model. The record is from RNAcentral.